RNAcentral lists this ribosomal RNA (523 nucleotides) under uncultured Bacilli bacterium. RNAcentral describes it as "bacterial SSU rRNA". It matches the Rfam family "Bacterial small subunit ribosomal RNA", at positions 251 to 767 of the family's 1533-position model. The record is from RNAcentral. Lineage: Bacteria; Bacillati; Bacillota; Bacilli.
GGUGAGGUAACGGCUCACCUAGGCCACGAUGCAUAGCUGACCUGAGAGGAUGAUCGGCCACAUUGGGACUGAGACACGGCCCAGACUCCUACGGGAGGCAGCAGUAGGGAAUAUUGGGCAAUGGGCGCAAGCCUGACCGAGCCACGCCGCGUGUAGUGAAGAAGGCUUUCGGAUCGUAAAACUCUGUUGUUAGAGAAGAACAGGGAUGAGAGUAUACGUUCGAUCCAUUGACGGUAUCUGACCAGGAAGCCCACGGCUAACUACGUGCCAGCAGCCGCGGUAAUACGUAGGGGGCAAGCGUUGUCCGGAUUUACUGGGCGUAAAGCGCGCGCAGGCGGUUUGUUAAGUCUGAUGUGAAAGCCCCGGGCUCAACCGGGGAGGUCAUUGGAUACUGGGAACUUGAGUGCAGAGAGGAGAGUGGAUUCCAUGUGUAGCGGUGAAAUGCGUAGAUAUAUGGAGGAACACCAGUGGCGAAGGCGGCUCUCUGGUCUGUGACUGACGCUGAGGCGCGAAAGCGUGGGGA